RNAcentral lists this ribosomal RNA (1418 nucleotides) under marine metagenome. RNAcentral's name for it is "bacterial LSU rRNA". It matches the Rfam family "Bacterial large subunit ribosomal RNA", at positions 691 to 2134 of the family's 2925-position model. The record is from RNAcentral.
GGCGACAGUCACUGCUUACAGACCCGAACCCGGAUGAUCUAACCAUGGCCAGUAUGAAGCUUAGGUAACACUACGUGGAGGUACGAACCGACAGAUGUUGAAAAAUCAGCGGAUGAGUUGUGGUUAGGGGUGAAAUGCCAAUCGAAUUCGGAGCUAGCUGGUUCUCCCCGAAAUGCGUUUUGGCGCAGCGGUAAAUGUUAUAGUUUAGGGGUAAAGCACUGUUACGGUGCGGGCUGGUAAUUCGGUACCAAAUCGUGGCAAACUAAGAAUACUAAACGCAUAAUUUACCAGUAAGACUGUGGGGGAUAAGCUCCAUUGUCAAGAGGGAAACAGCCCAGAGCACCAGCUAAGGCCCCCAAAUAAUUACUAAGUGAUAAAGGUUGUGGGAGUGCUUAAACAAUCAGGAGGUUUGCUUAGAAGCAGCAAUCCUUUAAAGAGUGCGUAAUAGCUCACUGAUCGAGUAAACCUGCGCCGAAAAUGAAUGGGACUCAAGUAAUUUGCCGAAGCUGUGCGAUAUUUUAAUAAUAUCGGUAGGGGAGCGUUCUGUUGUAGGUUGAAGUAUUAGCGGAAGCGGAUAUGGACGAAGCAGAAGUGAGAAUGUCGGCUUGAGUAACGAAAAUAUAGGUGAGAAUCCUAUACCCCGAAAACCCAAGGUUUCCUCCGGAAGGCUCGUCCGCGGAGGGUAAGUCAGGACCUAAGGCGAGGCUGAAAAGCGUAGUCGAUGGACAACGGGUUAAUAUUCCCGUACCAUUCUUUAUUGACAACGAGGGACGGAGAAGGCUAAGCUAGCCGGAUAUUGGUUACCGGUUUAAACGUUCAAGAUGUUGAGAAGCGGCGAAAACGCUUUGAGUUGAGACGUGAGUACGAGAUGCUAAGGCGUCGAAGUAGUGUAUGUCAUACUUCCAAGAAAAGCUUGCACUGUCAUAAAUAAAAAAUGCCUGUACCAUAACCGACACAGGUGGGUAGGUAGAGUAUACUAAGGGGCGCGAGAUAACUCUCUCUAAGUAACUCGGCAAAAUAACUCCGUAACUUCGGGAGAAGGAGUGCCUUAUUCGUAAGGUUGCAAUAACAAGAUCCAAGCAACUGUUUAUCAAAAACACAGGUCUCCGCUAAGUCGCAAGACGAUGUAUGGGGGCUGACGCCUGCCCAGUGCCAGAAGGUUAAAGAAGUUGGUUAGCAUUAGCGAAGCUGAUAACUGAAGCCCUGGUGAACGGCGGCCGUAACUAUAACGGUCCUAAGGUAGCGAAAUUCCUUGUCGGGUAAGUUCCGACCCGCACGAAAGGCGUAAUGAUUUGGGUACUGUCUCAGAGAGGGGCUCGGUGAAAUAGACUUGUCUGUGAAGAUGCGGACUACCUGCACCUGGACAGAAAGACCCUAUGAAGCUUUACUGUAACUUGAAAUUGAAAUUGGACUUUAUU